UACGUAGGGUGCGAGCGUUGUCCGGAAUUAUUGGGCGUAAAGGGCUCGUAGGCGGUUUGUCGCGUCGGGAGUGAAAAUCCAGGGCUUAACUCUGGACUGGCUUCCGAUACGGGCAGACUAGAGGUAUGCAGGGGAGAACGGAAUUCCUGGUGUAGCGGUGAAAUGCGCAGAUAUCAGGAGGAACACCGGUGGCGAAGGCGGCGCCCUGGCUCGCAACUGACGCUCAGACACGACAGCAUGGGGAGCGAACGGG
Molecule: ribosomal RNA, 253 nt
Filed under: uncultured bacterium
Lineage: Bacteria
Description: partial 16S ribosomal RNA
Rfam family: Bacterial small subunit ribosomal RNA
Source: RNAcentral